This 621-nucleotide long non-coding RNA is filed under the name Heterocephalus glaber (naked mole-rat). Its description in RNAcentral is "lncRNA (ENSHGLG00100037899.1)". The record is from RNAcentral. Lineage: Eukaryota; Metazoa; Chordata; Mammalia; Rodentia; Bathyergidae.
CAGCUCGGUGGUAUCGUAUGCAAAUACGCAUGCUGACGUUACAGAUCAUGUGGGUUUUGGCGUAGAUUCCCCACUGAUCGGCAUUUUCCCCUCUUUUUCUUUCUUUUUUCUCUUUUUGCUUUUUCUUUUUAAAUUUUGGCCGCCGUCCUCGGAGCGGGCCUCUCUGCCCGAGCCCGGCACGCUGGCUGUCCCUCCGUUUCCCACGGAGCCCCGCGGGCGCCGGCCGGGGAGCGGGCCGAGGGUGGGGGAGCCAGCAGAGUUCCAUUUUGGAAGCCCGCGCUCGUCUCCGCGCGCCCAGCCCGGGUCCCCGCGUCCGCGCGCCCCCAGCCCCGGCGCCGCAGGCCGACUCUCUGGGAAGCCUCCCACACCCGACCGCCUAGGCGUCAGCGCCUUUAGAGGACGACCCCAAGUGAGGGCCGGCAUCCUCUGCCUGACCCGAAGUUCCUCUGCCCUCACCUUCGCUCUGACUGGAAAUCGUGGCUCUUCCGUGGCCCCAGCACAUCCUCAGUCCGACCACCCCCUUCCAGACCACCCUGUGCCAACCAGGGAUCCCUGGACUUUCGCAGUCCCCCACGACACUGCAUCCAGGGACUUCUCUCUCAGGUACAUCCCCUGUCCUUC